UGAGGAAUAUUGGUCAAUGGGCGCAAGCCUGAACCAGCCAAGUCGCGUGAGGGAUGACGGUCCUAUGGAUUGUAAACCUCUUUUGUCGGGGAGCAAAGCGCGGUACGAGUACCGCGAAGGAGAGUACCCGAAGAAAAAGCAUCGGCUAACUCCGUGCCAGCAGCCGCGGUAAUACGGAGGAUGCGAGCGUUAUCCGGAUUUAUUGGGUUUAAAGGGUGCGUAGGCGGAUUUGUAAGUCAGCGGUAAAAAUGCGGUGCUCAACGCCGUAUCGCCGUUGAAACUGCAGGUCUUGAGUGAGCGAGA
Molecule: ribosomal RNA, 303 nt
Filed under: uncultured bacterium
Lineage: Bacteria
Description: bacterial SSU rRNA
Rfam family: Bacterial small subunit ribosomal RNA
Source: RNAcentral